CCAGGGUCUUCUGGCAACUCUUUGUUGGCUUGCGAGCUGGGAAAACCAAACGUUAGUCAGGCCAAUCACAUCGUGUGUAGAGUCGGUGGGCGGGCUUAAC
Etheostoma spectabile (orangethroat darter) is the source of this 100-nucleotide long non-coding RNA. RefSeq lists it as uncharacterized. The transcript has 3 exons. The record is from RefSeq and is a predicted model, not a curated record. NCBI's taxonomy places the organism in Eukaryota, Metazoa, Chordata, Actinopteri, Perciformes, Percidae.